GAAAGCCUCAUGCCCUCUGGAUCCAAAAAAUACCAGAAAAGGAUGGUGUCAGCUCUUAUUUCCAUGGCAACAAGCUUCAGAACUUUUAAGCUUCAACCUCACUAUGAACAUGUCCAAUCAUUUUGAAGCAAAAAACAAAAUCCACCAACACAUAUCAGCUGUUUGGGUUUUUCUCUCUCUCUCUCUCUCUCUCUCUCUCUCCACCCCCACCGUUCUGUGACUCAGCUUCUUGCAUAUCCGGAUGAAACAGAAAGGGUAGGGAGAAGUGGAGGGAGGGCUUUCACUCCCCCGAGAGGAAAAAAGCAGAGUAGGAGAAUAGAGACGAGAUGAGCAGAAGAGAGAGCAAAGGGAUUCUGAGUCACACUCACCCUGGGGUAGGCACCAGCAUGGCCAUAUCUCUACCUCAUUCUCCUUUUUCAUCUCUACCCAUCUCUUCACACAUACACACACUUGUCUCAUGAGGUCCGGACCUACACAGCUACCAGCAGCUGCUCUUCUACCAGACCAUGUGCCUCACAUCCAGUUCAGUUCACGCUGGCCUACUUUCUGCUUGUUGCUUAUGUAAUAAGUCUCCUAGAUUAGGUUAUUUGGGCCCGACACUGACGCAGUUCUUCUGAGGUGAAUGCAGCGAGGGAAGGAGGAGGGAGAGGAACACGAAGAAAGCAAGUGACUUUUCUGAAAGAGCAAGCCAACAAGCUGCUGCCACAAUAUUCUCGCAUCGACUUGCAAAAUGUUGCACAGAUAUUUUAUGCCUGAUAUCAGACAUUUUGGAUUUAAUGUUUGAUCAUUCCCUUUUAACUACCGCACUGCACUUCAUCACAAAUACAAUGACCCCCUGGAUGUAUUAACUCAAAUGAAUAAGGUGAAUAUAAAAUGCCGCUCAUGCUUACAAUAACCAUAGCAAAAGGCUGCAAAGUUAUUCUUAACCAGAAAACCUGCAGGACACAACAGCUCGCAGACUGGACUCCCACACACCACUUGGUUUCUUUCCUCCUGAUAAGAAGGAAACAAUUGUCAAUUCCAUUUAUGACAAAUAGUGUUGAUGCUAAAAUAAAUUGUUUAUAAAGAGUUGGAUAAAUAAUAUCGAUUUUUCAGCAAUGUCCAUUUUUACGUUAACAUGUAUACAUUAUAUAAUUAUUGCAUGAAAUGUUAUAACAUUUAAAUAUGUAAUAAAUAAAAAAAUAGUAUAACAAA
Silurus meridionalis is the source of this 1194-nucleotide long non-coding RNA. RefSeq lists it as uncharacterized. Lineage: Eukaryota; Metazoa; Chordata; Actinopteri; Siluriformes; Siluridae. The transcript has 2 exons. The record is from RefSeq and is a predicted model, not a curated record.